This is a long non-coding RNA of Melitaea cinxia (Glanville fritillary), 396 nucleotides long. RefSeq lists it as uncharacterized. The record is from RefSeq and is a predicted model, not a curated record. The transcript has 3 exons. Lineage: Eukaryota; Metazoa; Arthropoda; Insecta; Lepidoptera; Nymphalidae.
AAUAUAUCCUUAUUUAUUUGUUUACUUUAAAUGUUAGGUAAAGUAAUUUGAAAUCACUUUAUAGAGUGCUAUUCACUGCGGUGACACAUAGUGCAGAUAAAGUCCUUGAACAUUUUACGUCUGUCAGUACACAUUGACUUCCUCGUAAACAAACACGUCUACCAACAUCAUGAAGUAUUUAUUACUUAUCGUCACGACUUUCAUCGUUUUCACAUCAGUUCCAGCAACACCUCAGCAUCAGCGUGAGGCGUGUUUCUGUCCAGACAUAUAUGCCCCCGUUUGUGCUGUUUCUGGCCAAACGUAUGCCAGUCGUUGCGAGUUAGAAUGUGCAAGUGAUACUCUCCUGCACGAGGGACGUUGUAACAUUUCUACAUAAAUAUAUUAUACAACAAUAAA